Molecule: unclassified non-coding RNA, 316 nt
Filed under: Hevea brasiliensis (rubber tree)
Lineage: Eukaryota; Viridiplantae; Streptophyta; Magnoliopsida; Malpighiales; Euphorbiaceae
Source: RNAcentral
AAGACACUUAAUAGAAUAUAAACCCAUGCCAUUGGUGAACUAGAAUAUGAAGUACAUUCACAGAAAAACCAGAAGAAAGAAACACGAAGCAGUUGCCAACAUCUUAAUCAACUAGAUAAACCAGCAUUGAAACUAAAGCUCAUACGUUUUUUUCAAGCAAUCAUCUCCAAUGCAACAAUUCAUAAUCCCAGCUACUUAACAGUCCAUAAAACACAAAUUUAACACUAAAACUGAACAGAAUUUAGCAAAAAAAUUAACUGGAACCAAAUGGGAAAUAAACAAAAAAUACUCACAAGCUUAAUUGCAACUUCCUCGU